This 590-nucleotide ribosomal RNA is filed under the name uncultured bacterium. Its description in RNAcentral is "partial 16S ribosomal RNA". It matches the Rfam family "Bacterial small subunit ribosomal RNA", at positions 355 to 1376 of the family's 1533-position model. The record is from RNAcentral.
UGGGGAAUAUUGGACAAUGGGCGCAAGCCUGAUCCAGCAAUGCCGCGUGUGUGAAGAAGGCCUUCGGGUUGUAAAGCACUUUUAUCAGGAGCGAAACGCUGUCGGCUAAUACCCGGCGGAACUGACGGUACCUGAGGAAUAAGCACCGGCUAACUUCGUGCCAGCAGCCGCGGUAAUACGAAGGGUGCAAGCGUUAAUCGGAAUUACUGGGCGUAAAGCGUGCGUAGGCGGUUUCUUAAGUCUGCUGUGAAAUCCCCGGGCUCAACCUGGGAAUGGCAGUGGAUACUGGGAGGCUAGAGUGUGUCAGAGGGUGGUGGAAUUCCCGGUGUAGCGGUGAAAUGCGUAGAGAUCGGGAGGAACAUCAGUGGCGAAGGCGGCCACCUGGGACAACACUGACGCUGAGGCACGAAAAGCGUGGGGAGCAAACAGGAUUAGAUACCCUGGUAGUCCACGCCCUAAAACGAUGCGAACUGGAUGUUGGUCUCAACUCGGAGAUCAGUGUCGAAGCUAACGCGUUAAGUUCGCCGCCUGGGGAGUACGGUCGCAAGACUGAAACUCAAAUGAAUUGACGGGGUCAUAGCUGUUUCCUG